GAGUGCAAGCCGCAGCCCGCUUGAUUUCGGCCCGGGACUUAAAAUCCCCCGCUCGUAAGGGCGUGCCGGUUCGAUUCCGGCUUCGGGCACCA
Molecule: transfer RNA, 92 nt
Filed under: Pseudomonas rhodesiae
Lineage: Bacteria; Pseudomonadati; Pseudomonadota; Gammaproteobacteria; Pseudomonadales; Pseudomonadaceae
Description: tRNA-Leu
Source: RNAcentral